GUAUCAACCCUAAUACAUCUAAAAAAUAUUGCCUCUUUCUUUGAUGAAUCGAAGCUUCAUCUUGUACCAUCUUUGGGUGGUCUACUCCGUGCCAUGGCUUGUUGUUGUGUCUGCUCAUUUCAGCUUACAGAAUUAAGUGUCAAUUGUUACCUUGUAAUACCAUUGCGUCUAUUUUUAGCUUAUUUUUCUUCUAUUUUGUUGCUCCUAGUUGUGCUCUGCGGUGGAUGGUAAUUACAACUUUUUGUGCUCUACUGAGGGUUCUAGGCACCUAAAGAUGAUUAAUUUUCCGAUUACAACUGGUAUGGAGAUAAUGGGAUGCUCAUUACUGCAAAUAAUGAGAUAGUAAUAUCCUCUUCAGGUGUAUGAAUUCAAAACUACAAAAUAACCCUCCCUUUUUUGCUGUGAGUCCUUUUUUGGCGGCUAUAGUAUAGGGUAGAUAGAUUUUUAACUCUUAUUGGUGACUCUAUGGCUUGUAAAUAUUUGCAUGUGAACAAAGUAAGUUUUAGCCUUCCCUGCACCUUUACCCCUUUGUUGUAAUUUAUCACUAUUAACUAUUAUCUUUCCUGUAACUUAGAAAUGCAGGAAACUUGUUAUUGCAAAAUCCCCUUUAUUAAUGGAUAAAUUGGUUAAA
Long non-coding RNA from Capsicum annuum, 631 nucleotides. RefSeq lists it as uncharacterized. NCBI's taxonomy places the organism in Eukaryota, Viridiplantae, Streptophyta, Magnoliopsida, Solanales, Solanaceae. The transcript has 2 exons. The record is from RefSeq and is a predicted model, not a curated record.